This 468-nucleotide ribosomal RNA is filed under the name uncultured bacterium. Its description in RNAcentral is "partial 16S ribosomal RNA". It matches the Rfam family "Bacterial small subunit ribosomal RNA", at positions 28 to 507 of the family's 1533-position model. The record is from RNAcentral.
GACGAACGCUGGCGGCGUGCUUAACACAUGCAAGUCGAACGGUGAAGCUCCAGCUUGCUGGAGUGGAUCAGUGGCGAACGAGUGAGUAACACGUGAGCAACCUGCCCCUGACUCUGGAAUAAGCGCUGGAAACGGCGUCUAAUACUGGAUACGAGAAGGGUCCGCAUGGGCACUUUCUGGAAAGUUUUUCGGUUGGGGAUGGGCUCGCGGCCUAUCAGCUUGUUGGUGAGGUAAUGGCUCACCAAGGCGACGACGGGUAGCCGGCCUGAGAGGGCGACCGGCCACACUGGGACUGAGACACGGCCCAGACUCCUACGGGAGGCAGCAGUGGGGAAUAUUGCACAAUGGGCGAAAGCCUGAUGCAGCGACGCCGCGUGAGGGAUGACGGCCUUCGGGUUGUAAACCUCUUUCAGCAGGGAAGAAGCGAAAGUGACGGUACCUGCAGAAGAAGCACCGGCUAACUACGUG